Molecule: ribosomal RNA, 497 nt
Filed under: uncultured bacterium
Lineage: Bacteria
Description: partial 16S ribosomal RNA
Rfam family: Bacterial small subunit ribosomal RNA
Source: RNAcentral
GAUGAACGCUGGCGGCGUGCCUAAUACAUGCAAGUCGAGCGAACGGACGAGAAGCUUGCUUCUCUGAUGUUAGCGGCGGACGGGUGAGUAACACGUGGAUAACCUACCUAUAAGACUGGGAUAACUUCGGGAAACCGGAGCUAAUACCGGAUAAUAUUUUGAACCGCAUGGUUCAAUAGUGAAAGACGGUCUUGCUGUCACUUAUAGAUGGAUCCGCGCUGCAUUAGCUAGUUGGUAAGGUAACGGCUUACCAAGGCAACGAUGCAUAGCCGACCUGAGAGGGUGAUCGGCCACACUGGAACUGAGACACGGUCCAGACUCCUACGGGAGGCAGCAGUAGGGAAUCUUCCGCAAUGGGCGAAAGCUUGACGGAGCAACGCCGCGUGAGUGAUGAAGGUCUUCGGAUCGUAAAACUCUGUUAUUAGGGAAGAACAAAUGUGUAAGUAACUGUGCACGUCUUGACGGUACCUAAUCAGAAAGCCACGGCUAACUACGUG